Molecule: long non-coding RNA, 610 nt
Organism: Xyrauchen texanus (razorback sucker)
Lineage: Eukaryota; Metazoa; Chordata; Actinopteri; Cypriniformes; Catostomidae
Exons: 4
Source: RefSeq, a predicted model, not a curated record
GAAAGGGGCGUGGAACCACUCAACAAGAGACUAUUCAUUUUGUUUUCCAGUCAACUUUUGCCAGAUCCGUCAGGCCGGCAGAACCAGGAGCACACAGAGAAGGCACGCUUACAUAGCUACACAUCUACGCCAUAGACCAUGUCGGACUCAGAGACUGCAGCUCCAGUCGAGACCCCUGUCCCAGCAUCCUGUGCGGCCAUCAAGGCAGAUUUAGACAAAUGUGUAAAGGAGAAUGGCGAGGAAGCAUGUAAGGAACUGAUGGAUGCGUUUGCUGCCUGUGUGAAGAGCAAUGCUGAGGCGCCAUGAGGAGCUCAACAUGCAGGAGAAAGGAUUACUGCACUGAGUCCUCCACCUUCCCAUCAUUCCCUGCAGCUCAUGGCACUGGACUAAAUGACUCUGAUGGGGUUGGCAGCAGAGACCAUACUUUUGUCUCUUCCCUUCUCUACCCCCCUGUGAAGCUUAAAUGGAUUCCUCCAACCACCCACCUCCCCUCCCCUUAUGUGGAUGAUUGUGUUGAUCUGAUAUGUAGACAGUUUGGGAGAGCUUAUGAUUUGAUGUAAAUGACGUGUCUCAGAUGCUUACAAAGUGGAAAUAAAGAUUUAAAUAUGGU